AACGAACGCUGGCGGCAGGCUUAACACAUGCAAGUCGAGCGCCCCGCAAGGGGAGCGGCCGACGGGUGAGUAACGCGUGGGAACGUACCUUUUGGUUCGGAACAACUCCGGGAAACUGGAGCUAAUACCGGAUAAGCCCUAACGGGGAAAGAUUUAUCGCCGAAAGAUCGGCCCGCGUCUGAUUAGCUAGUUGGUGAGGUAACGGCUCACCAAGGCGACGAUCAGUAGCUGGUCUGAGAGGAUGAUCAGCCACACUGGGACUGAGACACGGCCCAGACUCCUACGGGGGGCAGCAGUGGGGAAUAUUGGACAAUGGGCGCAAGCCUGAUCCAGCCAUGCCGCGUGAGUGAUGAAGGCCUUAGGGUUGUAAAGCUCUUUUGUCCGGGAAGAUAAUGACUGUACCGGAAGAAUAAGCCCCGGCUAACUUCGUG
RNAcentral lists this ribosomal RNA (431 nucleotides) under uncultured bacterium. Its description in RNAcentral is "partial 16S ribosomal RNA". It matches the Rfam family "Bacterial small subunit ribosomal RNA", at positions 29 to 507 of the family's 1533-position model. The record is from RNAcentral.